RNAcentral lists this ribosomal RNA (260 nucleotides) under uncultured Stemonitis sp. Its description in RNAcentral is "partial 18S ribosomal RNA". It matches the Rfam family "Eukaryotic small subunit ribosomal RNA", at positions 28 to 238 of the family's 1831-position model. The record is from RNAcentral. Lineage: Eukaryota; Evosea; Eumycetozoa; Stemonitida.
AUGCUUUUCCUAAAGAUUAAGCCAUGCAUGCCUAAGACUAUGAGGAAGCAAUUCUCUCUGAAUCUGCGAACGGCUCCGCAAACCAGUUGUAAACCAUAGCAGCGUUCCGCCCGGCUUCAGCAAUGGAGCCGGGCAUUAUAUGGAUAACCGUGGUAAUUCUGAGGCUAAUACAUAACAAACAAACCUGCCGGGCCGGGGCAACUCUGGCCAGGCGGGGACGUGCAAAAUCCCAUUGCUAUAAACAAAACCACGAAUGAAUG